This 264-nucleotide ribosomal RNA is filed under the name uncultured bacterium. Its description in RNAcentral is "partial 16S ribosomal RNA". It matches the Rfam family "Bacterial small subunit ribosomal RNA", at positions 524 to 784 of the family's 1533-position model. The record is from RNAcentral.
CACGUAGGGUGCGAGCGUUGUCCGGAAUUAUUGGGCGUAAAGAGCUCGUAGGCGGUGUGUCGCGUCGGCCGUGAAAACCUGCAGCUUAACUGUGGGCUUGCGGUCGAUACGGGCAUCACUGGAGUUCGGCAGGGGAGACUGGAAUUCCUGGUGUAGCGGUGAAAUGCGCAGAUAUCAGGAGGAACACCGGUGGCGAAGGCGGGUCUCUGGGCAACAACGUGACGCUGGAGGAGCGAAAGCGUGGGGAGCGAACAGGAUUAGACG